UGUUUCAUCUUUCUUCUUACAUCAUGGGAAAAACUACUUGGAAAGUAAGAGAUGUGAGUGUGGGUAUGAAACGGAAGAUAUCGAUCACAUCGUGUGGCGUUGCCAUCGAUUCGACGAGCAGAGAGUAAGGUUAGGUCUAUGGCGUACACUGGUCUCUGGGAUGCCAGUGCAUCCAAAUUUAAACACCAGAAUGCUACUCCAGCUCCCAAGCCGUGUAAUAAAACCUUCGUAUCGGCACCUUCGGCGACUCUUCAUUCAGCGAAACGGUCCAUAUCUUGUCUGUCGGCCCCAUAACCGGCCCAAUAUCAACGUACUAUCCUCGAUACGCAGUCUUAAAGCCUGCAACGUCAACAUACAAAUGUAAUCUUCUUCUCCGCGGCGCGCAACAUAGUCGAAGAUGAUCCAGACCAACUAAACCAUCCCCAAAUCCAGCUGCUGAAACGAUAAGGUUGAUUAUUUAUCUCUCAGUAUUUGAAGAUGCUUGUCUCAAAUUAUUCAAGCGCACGUCAGUAAAAUUGAGAUGAGUCAACGUUAGAAAACGAUUUGUGUCAAAUCAUGUUUCUAUCUCGAGACAGGUAUAGACGGCGCGAAUAGUGUAUUAAUAGCGAUUAUAUCACAUCCCAAUUAUUACGUUUCGCGUAAUCGCCACGUGAAACGCAAAAUGUCUAUUAGCGGCGAGUUGGCCUUCAAGCGCCGAGCAACAUUUCGAAACCUGCCCGCGCAUCGUUAAAAACCAAACGUUAAAACGAUUCGAGUGUAACCUGCACACGUUUUAUCGGCGUUCAACUCAAUUGUCUCUUCGCGCGACGACGAUCCGUUCUCUUGUCCUCUUUCCGCCAAGUGACGUAACGUCGCGAUGCAAUCACAACGCGUUCAAAAUCGCGACGCAAUCGACGAAUUGUAACGGAACUUUCUCGAGCCACAUUCGCUUACCUCUUCGCCUGGACGACCUCGUGAUCUGCAAUGGGUGCGAGACGACAACGACGACGAUGACAACGGUGAUGGGGCUCCUCCUUGCCGCUCUGCCGUCGCGACCGGGCCCCCUUUGUCGUUGGCAAAUGCGGAAAAACACGCGUGUGCUGUAACGCGCGCGCGAUACUAUUAUCUAGCAGAAGCGUCUGAAUCUGAAUGAACGAUGGCUCGGCAAGUGCUUGACUUCACUCAUGACGAGUUCGCGGAGAGCAACGGAGAGCGUGGAGUGCGACGGUGGUCGCGGGGUGGGGAGAAAUCAGCUGAUAUCGGAACGCGUGCGCGCGCGCGGCAGAUUUCUGGAGCGUGUCGGCAAAGCGCAUAGCAAGACAGGAUGUCGCUAAAUUUGCGUCUAUCUCUUGCUCUCGAAAUCCUAUCGGGGUCGCAAUUAUAAUACUGGCAACGAUUGGAAAACAGGUCAAACCGAUUUAAUUAUCAACAAUGUUUGGCACUAGAAAAAGGAAGGCACCGGCACCGUGUUCCUUCCGAUCGAAGUACAGACACUGUUGCAUUUCUUUUAUAAUAGUUUUUUUAUAGCAGGACUUUGUUAAACUUAAUCUAUAAUAUGCUCUUUAUUAUCUGUUAGUACAUUUCAAGAUUUAUAUCUAUCUGGAAGAUUACAUGUAUGUUGUCCAUGUUAUGUUCAUUUUAAUAGUGUUUUUCGUUACACAUGUUUCCUGUCUCUUUCAGAAUUCGCAUUAAAGCUGUACUCACCAGAGAGAGAGAGAGAGAGAGAGAGAGAGAGAGAGAGAGAGAAAGAGAGAGAGGGAGGCAGGGAGGGAGAUUAACGUAUACAAAAUUAAUCAAAAAGAUUUUUAUUCUUACUUUUAAAUCGAAUCUGUAGACGACUUUACAAUGAUCAUAAUCAAAUUUGACUGCAAUUUUUCCAACUGAUUUAUGAUUUUUGUUAAAUAUUUUUCUAUUUGCAGACGUUCGGACUGUAUUUUUAUUAACUCGAAUAUCUUUACAAAGUAUCCAUCUAACACAGAACAUUCUAAUAAUGUUGCAGCAACUUCAAUAUUUGUUAUAAUGUUGCUGCAAUAUUGCUGAAAUGUUAUUUUGUAUUCUGUACUAUAUGAGACUUUACUUGACAUAAUAUUUUAAUUAGAGAUAUAAUAAACUUAGAUUUAAAAAUAAAUAAAUAAAAUGAUCUAUAAGUCUCAUUGUUUUCUAAUUAAUAUAUAAUUAUAAAUUUUACUUUAUUUCAUUACAUUUUUGUUUAUAAUAUAUAUUUCUUGAAAAUAUCUAGGUUUUCUUUUAUCCAGUACUUCUCACAUGGAAUAUAGGCAUCUGUUAAUUUUUGUUUUACCAAACAAAACAUAUCCAUUAGUUCGAUGAACGAAUAUAGCGCACCCCAGUAAGAAUCCUUAAGUGGAACAUUUAAUUUUUGAUUCUUCAGAUUGUCUUCGAACAAUUUACAAAUACCUGUAAUAAACAAAUGAUAUAUUACAAAUAAUUGAUAUAAACAAAUGAUAUGCAAAAAAUAAAACAAAUAUUAAACGAA
This is a long non-coding RNA of Solenopsis invicta (red fire ant), 2473 nucleotides long. RefSeq lists it as uncharacterized. Lineage: Eukaryota; Metazoa; Arthropoda; Insecta; Hymenoptera; Formicidae. The transcript is spliced from 3 exons. The record is from RefSeq and is a predicted model, not a curated record.